This 77-nucleotide transfer RNA is filed under the name Pseudomonadota bacterium. RNAcentral's name for it is "Proteobacteria bacterium tRNA-Ile". It matches the Rfam family "tRNA". From Rfam's summary of the family: Transfer RNA (tRNA) molecules are approximately 80 nucleotides in length. Their secondary structure includes four short double-helical elements and three loops (D, anti-codon, and T loops). The record is from RNAcentral. Lineage: Bacteria; Pseudomonadati; Pseudomonadota.
GGGCUUGUAGCUCAGUUGGUUAGAGCACACCCCUGAUAAGGGUGAGGUCAGUAGUUCGAGUCUACUCAGGCCCACCA